AGAGUUUGAUCAUGGCUCAGGACGAACGCUGGCGGCGUGCUUUAUACAUGCAAGUCAAGGAGAACGUUUUCUUCGGAAAACUAUUAAACUGGCGAACGGGUGAGUAACGCGUAGGCAACCUGCCCUAGAGAUUGGGAUAACAUCGGGAAACCGGUGCUAAUACCGGAUAAUGCAGCGGAUCCUUCGGGAUACAGUUGUUAAAGCGGGCUUCGGCUCGCACUUUAGGAUGGGCCUGCGUCCGAUUAGCUUGUUGGUAAGGUAACGGCUUACCAAGGCAAUGAUCGGUAGCUGGUCUGAGAGGAUGAUCAGCCACACUGGGAUUGAGAUACGGCCCAGACUCCUACGGGAGGCAGCAGUAGGGAAUUUUGCGCAAUGGGGGAAACCCUGACGCAGCAACGCCGCGUGACCGAUGAAGCUUCUAGGAGCGUAAAGGUCUGUCGUAAGGGAAGAAAAGUUUGGAUGUAAAUAAUGUUCGAACCUGACGGUACCUUACAAGAAAGCACCGGCUAACUUCGUGCCAGCAGCCGCGGUAAUACGAGGGGUGCAAGCGUUGUCCGGAAUCACUGGGCGUAAAGGGUCCGUAGGCGUCUCAAAAAGUCAUUUGUUAAAUACACCGGCUUAACCGGUGAAAUGCAUUUGAAACUAUUGAGAUAGAGUAUAGGAGAGGAAAGCGGAAUUCCUGGUGUAGCGGUGACAUGCGUAGAUA
RNAcentral lists this ribosomal RNA (706 nucleotides) under uncultured bacterium. Its description in RNAcentral is "bacterial SSU rRNA". It matches the Rfam family "Bacterial small subunit ribosomal RNA", at positions 8 to 696 of the family's 1533-position model. The record is from RNAcentral.